Molecule: transfer RNA, 69 nt
Filed under: Ictidomys tridecemlineatus (thirteen-lined ground squirrel)
Lineage: Eukaryota; Metazoa; Chordata; Mammalia; Rodentia; Sciuridae
Description: Spermophilus tridecemlineatus (thirteen-lined ground squirrel) tRNA
Rfam family: tRNA
About the family: Transfer RNA (tRNA) molecules are approximately 80 nucleotides in length. Their secondary structure includes four short double-helical elements and three loops (D, anti-codon, and T loops).
Source: Rfam by way of RNAcentral
GGUGCUGUAGCUCAGUGGUUGAGCACUUGUCUUGCAUGUGUGAGGCACUGGGUUCCAUCCUCAGCACCA